UUCGAUAACAACUUAACAUUAGGUGGACU
Molecule: small RNA, 29 nt
Filed under: Bombyx mori (domestic silkworm)
Lineage: Eukaryota; Metazoa; Arthropoda; Insecta; Lepidoptera; Bombycidae
Description: ovarian small RNA-4036
Source: RNAcentral